UUUUAUAUAGUUUAAAUUAAAACAUUAUAUUUUCAUUAUAAAAUUAAAGAAAAUCUUAUCUUUUAUAAAAU
RNAcentral lists this transfer RNA (71 nucleotides) under Pterygota sp. 3 LC-2017. RNAcentral's name for it is "tRNA-Glu". The record is from RNAcentral. Lineage: Eukaryota; Metazoa; Arthropoda; Insecta.